AUGAAUGAGAUAGAAUCAACAGCCUCAAUGAAGCUCGUGCCCACUUUGGAGCAUCCUUGCAACAUGAGCGUAGUGUCAGCCCCGACAACUACCUCGGCAACGACGGUUUCACCUUCCUCCACACCGACCUCAGUAGCGGCCACGACCGUCUCGGUUGUGUGUGCAGUGAAUCACGAUGACAAUGUGGCAACUUCUGAGUUGUCCAUCAGUCAUUCAGCAAUGGCUUCCAUGUCGAGGGAUAUCGCCGCUCCUUGCGGGUCUUCGAUGUGCCUUAUUGCCACCAAUAUUAUGCUAGCAACGGCGCUCAGUCCAGAUCUCACAGUGCAAGCUGGGUUGUCACCAUCAACCUGCCCUUCCAGCUCGGCUCGUGAGGACGCCAUUAACACUAAUGACACCUACACUAGAAAGGUGUUCAUGGAAACUGUGGGCAUGUUCCUGACCACUCCAGCAGCAUCAGAAAGCUCAAUCUCCCGGUCACUGCAUUGGUUUGAAGAUUGA
Molecule: ribosomal RNA, 498 nt
Filed under: Triticum aestivum (bread wheat)
Lineage: Eukaryota; Viridiplantae; Streptophyta; Magnoliopsida; Poales; Poaceae
Description: partial small subunit ribosomal RNA
Source: RNAcentral